GAUGAACGCUGGCGGCGUGCCUAAUACAUGCAAGUCGAGCGAACAGACGAGGAGCUUGCUCCUCUGACGUUAGCGGCGGACGGGUGAGUAACACGUGGAUAACCUACCUAUAAGACUGGGAUAACUUCGGGAAACCGGAGCUAAUACCGGAUAAUAUAUUGAACCGCAUGGUUCAAUAGUGAAAGACGGCUUUGCUGUCACUUAUAGAUGGAUCCGCGCCGCAUUAGCUAGUUGGUAAGGUAACGGCUUACCAAGGCAACGAUGCGUAGCCGACCUGAGAGGGUGAUCGGCCACACUGGAACUGAGACACGGUCCAGACUCCUACGGGAGGCAGCAGUAGGGAAUCUUCCGCAAUGGGCGAAAGCCUGACGGAGCAACGCCGCGUGAGUGAUGAAGGUCUUCGGAUCGUAAAAGUCUGUUAUUAGGGAAGAACAAAUGUGUAAGUAACUAUGCACGUCUUGACGGUACCUAAUCAGAAAGCCACGGCUAACUACGUG
RNAcentral lists this ribosomal RNA (497 nucleotides) under uncultured bacterium. RNAcentral's name for it is "partial 16S ribosomal RNA". It matches the Rfam family "Bacterial small subunit ribosomal RNA", at positions 28 to 507 of the family's 1533-position model. The record is from RNAcentral.